This 253-nucleotide ribosomal RNA is filed under the name uncultured bacterium. Its description in RNAcentral is "partial 16S ribosomal RNA". It matches the Rfam family "Bacterial small subunit ribosomal RNA", at positions 524 to 776 of the family's 1533-position model. The record is from RNAcentral.
UACGUAGGGUGCAAGCGUUGUCCGGAAUUAUUGGGCGUAAAGAGCUCGUAGGCGGCUUGUUGCGUCGGCUGUGAAAACCCGCGGCUUAACUGCGGGCUUGCAGUUGAUACGGGCAGGCUAGAGUUCGGUAGGGGAGACUGGAAUUCCUGGUGUAGCGGUGAAAUGCGCAGAUAUCAGGAGGAACACCGGUGGCGAAGGCGGAUCUCUGGGCCUUACCUGACGCUGAGGCGCGAAAGCUAGGGGAGCGAACAGG